UAAAAGUAUUUGGACCGUUGAAAGCAAUCUAAUUUAAUUAAUGCUGUUCAUGGCCCUUUUUCACUUAUUCGAAUGGCUUAUAAAUAUUAGCUCAGUUAGUGAUACACUUAGGCACUUAUCUACCUUAUUGGACUUGGCCUAUCACUGUACCUCAAUGUGAUCUAUUUAUUGGUUUCCUUCCUUGGCUCCUAGUAUGUGUGUAAUUGCUUCCUCUGCCUUUAGAGAAAAAUGGCCGUUCCUCUCUAUGGCUGCGUCCACUGUUUUUCCUCUUCUUCUUGCCUUUGUGGAUGAUUUCAUACAACGAUUACACCUUCCUUGUGCGUCCUUACAAAGUAACCAUAAGUGUGGAAUAGUUUGAGAGCAUUUUGGUGGUUCUUUCAUUGUGGUGUUGAUUGAUUAGAGAAACUGAGCUAGGGAAAAGCCUUGGCGAUCUUCUCUUCUGUGUAACAUCUGGAAUUAGAGCCUCGUGUGGUCGUUUUUAGCCAGAAAUCGACUGAAAGAUGUCCAAGUCGCGCCAUUCUUCUAAGGAACUGAACCUAAAAUCGUCGAUUCAGGCCAAACCAAUCACAAAUCGGAGAAACGAAGGCCAUAUCCAUACCUAGCAAAUAGAGGCGCUCCUUUCUAGGUGGCGAAUAAUAGUGGCCCUAAAGAAACAGAUUCGCAUUUUUUGAUUUUACAGACCUUUAGACGUGGUCCGCUCUCGUAAAUUGGAUUAUCCUAUUUAAUUUUCAGCACUAAUGCGUUGUCAUGUAAAGUGACAAUAGGAUUGAAGUUAACGUGUGGGAUAACCAUUGCUUGUAUUAGAAAUUAAAAAUUACUUGCUCUUAUGUAAUUGGGG
Molecule: long non-coding RNA, 838 nt
Filed under: Olea europaea (common olive)
Lineage: Eukaryota; Viridiplantae; Streptophyta; Magnoliopsida; Lamiales; Oleaceae
Description: long non-coding RNA (OEUR_LNC009815)
Source: RNAcentral